CUGGCAUCAUGAUGUCAUUGGCAUAGUGAUUGGCAUGCAAGAGAUAAAUGAUUCUCUGAUUUAGAGGCAAACAGGCAGAAUGACUAUUUCUGCACUAAUGCCUGGGAAUACUUCCCUCCAGAUUCACAAUAACUCAGAUCUGAUAAUUGUCAAGGUAUGGUGCUGAGGACAGCUGUUGGACUACUGAAGACAUUGUAAAGGUUUGUUCUGAAUCAGCAAACAGGUAAAGGAACGAUGAAAUCACAAGCUGGACAGAUUAUUCUGGUAGACCUUUCUUCUUGAAACCUUGUGACUUCCACCCAGCACUUGAAAGGAAAGAUUCUUAUCAGUGAGUGAGUUCUGCUGCCGACUACUGUAUGGUGGGACUAUGCAUUUUAUUGGAGAUCCUUGCUUUGGCUUCUUCUUGGAUUUUCUUGCAGUGAUGUUUAGAAUGAGUGCUAGACCAAAACACAAAGCCAGAACUUUUCAAUGUCUGUACCUAACAAUAGUCAUGGAGGUGAAGAAUACUUGCAUCUAAAAGGUAUUUACAUAUUCAGUUGAAAUAGAGGAUGACAUCUUUGCAUAGUUUUCCUUGCUUUGUAUAAAAGCAGUUUUGAAAAUACAGCUAAUCCAAGGUUUUCAAUAUUAAGGAGAAAUGGCAGCUAAACAGGAUAAUUUCAUUUUCUC
RNAcentral lists this long non-coding RNA (666 nucleotides) under Coturnix japonica (Japanese quail). RNAcentral describes it as "lncRNA (ENSCJPG00005015531.1)". The record is from RNAcentral. Lineage: Eukaryota; Metazoa; Chordata; Aves; Galliformes; Phasianidae.